UAAGGAAUAUUGGUCAAUGGACGAAAGUCUGAACCAGCCAUGCCGCGUGGAGGAUGAAGGUCCUCUGGAUUGUAAACUUCUUUUAUCUGGGACGAAAAAAGGUCUUUCUAGAUCGUCUGACGGUACCAGAUGAAUAAGCACCGGCUAACUCCGUGCCAGCAGCCGCGGUAAUACGGAGGGUGCAAGCGUUAUCCGGAUUCACUGGGUUUAAAGGGUGCGUAGGUGGGUUGGUAAGUCAGUGGUGAAAUCUUCGAGCUUAACUCGGAAACUGCCAUUGAUACUAUCAGUCUUGAAUAUUGUGGAGGUUAGCGGAAUAUGUCAUGUAGCGGUGAAAUGCUUAGAUAUGACAUAGAACACCAAGUUGCGAAGGCAGCUGGCUACACAUAUAUUGACACUGAGGCACGAAAGCGUGGGGAUCAAACAGGAUUAGAUACCCUGGUAGUCCACGCCUAAACGUAUGGAUACUCGACAUACGCGAUACACUGUGUGUGUCUG
RNAcentral lists this ribosomal RNA (495 nucleotides) under uncultured bacterium. Its description in RNAcentral is "partial 16S ribosomal RNA". It matches the Rfam family "Bacterial small subunit ribosomal RNA", at positions 355 to 849 of the family's 1533-position model. The record is from RNAcentral.